RNAcentral lists this transfer RNA (77 nucleotides) under Deltaproteobacteria bacterium. Its description in RNAcentral is "tRNA-Pro". It matches the Rfam family "tRNA". From Rfam's summary of the family: Transfer RNA (tRNA) molecules are approximately 80 nucleotides in length. Their secondary structure includes four short double-helical elements and three loops (D, anti-codon, and T loops). The record is from RNAcentral. Lineage: Bacteria; Pseudomonadati; Myxococcota; Myxococcia.
CGGGGCGUGGCGCAGCCUGGUAGCGCGGCUGCUUUGGGAGCAGUAGGUCGGAGGUUCAAAUCCUCUCGCCCCGACCA